Molecule: non-coding RNA, 55 nt
Organism: Salmo salar (Atlantic salmon)
Lineage: Eukaryota; Metazoa; Chordata; Actinopteri; Salmoniformes; Salmonidae
Source: Rfam
UGCAUUCACUACUGUAAGUCGCUCUGGAUAAGAGCGUCUGAUAAAAUGACUAAAA